RNAcentral lists this ribosomal RNA (669 nucleotides) under Salmonella enterica. RNAcentral describes it as "partial 23S ribosomal RNA". It matches the Rfam family "Bacterial large subunit ribosomal RNA", at positions 711 to 1376 of the family's 2925-position model. The record is from RNAcentral. RNAcentral also lists the same sequence under 1 other name. Lineage: Bacteria; Pseudomonadati; Pseudomonadota; Gammaproteobacteria; Enterobacterales; Enterobacteriaceae.
AGACCCGAAACCCGGUGAUCUAGCCAUGGGCAGGUUGAAGGUUGGGUAACACUAACUGGAGGACCGAACCGACUAAUGUUGAAAAAUUAGCGGAUGACCUGUGGCUGGGGGUGAAAGGCCAAUCAAACCGGGAGAUAGCUGGUUCUCCCCGAAAGCUAUUUAGGUAGCGCCUCGUGAAUUCAUCUCCGGGGGUAGAGCACUGUUUCGGCUAGGGGGCCAUCCCGGCUUACCAACCCGAUGCAAACUGCGAAUACCGGAGAAUGUUAUCACGGGAGACACACGGCGGGUGCUAACGUCCGUCGUGAAGAGGGAAACAACCCAGACCGCCAGCUAAGGUCCCAAAGUCAUGGUUAAGUGGGAAACGAUGUGGGAAGGCCCAGACAGCCAGGAUGUUGGCUUAGAAGCAGCCAUCAUUUAAAGAAAGCGUAAUAGCUCACUGGUCGAGUCGGCCUGCGCGGAAGAUGUAACGGGGCUAAACCAUGCACCGAAGCUGCGGCAGCGACACUCAGGUGUUGUUGGGUAGGGGAGCGUUCUGUAAGCCUGUGAAGGUGGCCUGUGAGGGUUGCUGGAGGUAUCAGAAGUGCGAAUGCUGACAUAAGUAACGAUAAAGCGGGUGAAAAGCCCGCUCGCCGGAAGACCAAGGGUUCCUGUCCAACGUUAAUCGGGGCA